Long non-coding RNA from Polyodon spathula (Mississippi paddlefish), 1064 nucleotides. RefSeq lists it as uncharacterized. The record is from RefSeq and is a predicted model, not a curated record. Lineage: Eukaryota; Metazoa; Chordata; Actinopteri; Acipenseriformes; Polyodontidae. The transcript is spliced from 3 exons.
AUGAAACUUUAGAAGGGCACAGGAAGUUUUUUUAAUCAAAUUGUAGGUUCUACAGAGAUUGAUGACAUGAUUUGCAAAUCAACAAACCUGCUGUUGGCCUGGACUCUGAGCACUUCUUGCAGAAAUUCAUCAAGAGGAGGACUGUGGGCCUGACAGAGCUGGUCCAGAUUAUUAUCAACACCACACACUUAGAGCACUCGUGCCGCUACCUGGAGGAGUUCAUCACAAACAUCGCCAACGUCCCUCCAGAGACCGUCCAGGCCACCAAGCUGUACGGCACCUCCACCUUCAAGGUGAGCCCUCAGCCCCAGACCACCCAGGCACCUCCACCUUCAAGAUGAGCCCUCAGCCCCAGACCGUCCAGGAACUUCCUCCUUCAAGGGGAGCCCUCAGCCCCAGACCAUCCAGGCCACCAAGCUGUACGGCACCUCCACCUUCAAGGUGAGCCCUCAGCCCCAGACCACCCAGGCACCUCCACCUUCAAGAUGAGCCCUCAGCCCCAGACCGUCCAGGCACCUCCUCCUUCAAGGUGAGUUCUCAGCCCCAGACUAUCCAGGCCACCAAGCUGUACGGCACCUCCACCUUCAAGGUGAGCCCUCAGCCCCAGACCACCCAGGCACCUCCGCCUUCAAGAUGAGCCCUCAGCCCCAGACCAUCCAGGCACCUCCUCCUUCAUGUGAGCCCUCAGCCCCAGACCACCCAGGCCACCAAGCUGUACGGCACCUCCACCUUCAAGGUGAGCCCUCAGUUCCAGACCGUCCAGGUACUUCCCCUUCAAGGUGAGCACUCAGCCUCAUCCGUGCUACUCUUGCCAUUAGUUUCCUUUGGUUUACUUCCAAUUUAUUGAUGGAUUGACUGAUCCUUUAUAUGCGCAGUUGACCCUGUCUCUCAUGGUAUAACACCAUCUUCUUGUGGACCCUGUAUGACGAUGACCACUUUGGGUGCAAGGUUCCUCCAUCCUACCCAAAGUACUGAAAACAAUAAGAGAAAGUGUACCUUACUUCUAAACGAGUGUGUGUGUGUGUGUCUCUGAGACUCUGUGCGUGUGUGUGCGUGGGUGAAAG